GUGAACCUGUCCUCCACUGGAGCCUGUGGGGUUUUCCACACUGCAAUGAAAACAAUUGAAAAGGGCAUUGUAAGGCACACUACACUGUAAAAACCAUUUGCUUGCUGUUCUCUCAAAUUUGUACUUCUCAUUGGUGAUUAAAAUUCACCUACAAACACUCACAUCCUGUCUUUCAUCAAGUGUUCCACUGGCUUGCUGAGCAUUGCAGAAGAGCUACAGGAGUGCCUCAGUCAGGAUUUGGCUCUAGGAGAAAUGAGCUUCUCCCUGUUUUGCUACCACUCUCAUCCUGAGGGAUCUAUGUCUAACCAGGAAUGUAAAUAUCUCUUUGCUUCCCCAGCUUAAUUUCUCACAAGUUUGGAAGGUUAAGCAUGAAUUUUCUUUUUUAGUACUGAGCCAAGUUUUUACUCUUUGAAGAUGUCAUUAAAAACACCUCAAAGUUCCUCUGCCUCCCACAAUGUUGUUUUCAGGAAUUGCUUGAAGGUAAACAGUAAUAUAACUUGGUGUUAUAAGGUGAGUAAUUAAGAAAUGAGAAGAAUUAAUGUAUUGUCCAUGAAAUUAGCAUUCUGAUAAUUGUUUGGUUUGUAAUUAUAUUGAAUUUAAUCUGACAAUAAUACUGAGAAACUGUAGGUUUUAAACCCACCCUUUGUCUGGGGGAAAGCUUUAAUUUGUUUGACACGAUUCAUUUGCAUCUAUGCUUUUCUAAGUUUUUUUUUUGCUAAACCUUGAAUGAGCUAUUUAUACAACCAGAUACAUUAACCCAGAGCAUAAUUCCAUUUCAAAAGGAAGAAUGGAGGGCAAAAUUGAAUGUGCAUUGUUCCUAAGUUAAUGGUUGUACAAUGUGCCUAAGUGCUUUGUUAUUGUAGUCUCAACAACACGUGAGCUGCUCAGAAUUCUUUGGAAUGUAGGUCACUUCUGAGGUGUGAAAGGUGAUAACCACUCUCCAUAUUUUACUACUGAUGGACCUCUCAAAUGAAAUACAUGUGCUGACAUCUCCGUGUUUUGAAGAUUUAAAGACCUCAAAUAUGGAGAAAAACAGACUGACCUUGAAACUCCUGUGUCAAAAUUCCCUUUUUUUAGCACUAUUGCUUCGCCCAAUAAAUUAACUUGCGGAAAAUCCUAUAAGGGAAGAUAGUAUUCCUUGUGUUAUAAAUGUAAGUCUCAUGCCAGAUAAUUCCUAGUGAAAUGUGUUAUUGAGGUGACUCCUCUGUUCCAAGGAACAACUUCUGAUGAGUGUGAAGGAGAAGAACUUCAGCCUUAAUGUUACAUAUAUUUUCCAUCUAUCAGAAGUAUUUCUGAUUCUCAACUGUUGCUGAAAUUAAGAUUCUGACCAACUUGCAUUGAAAUUUAUGGUAUUUAGGAAAAGAAACGCUUUUAGCAAUUUGACAAGUAUAAUUUUCCCUAGAAUGUUUUACAGUCAUCAGAAUGUCAGGAAUUUGUUGAACUUAAAUAAAUGCAAGCACAUACUAAAGUUUUCUCUGGUAACUUAAGAAGACAGCUUUGUAGUGUUUUGCUCACCUUGUUCUUUUACUUUUAUGCAAGUUCUGACAGCAGUAGAUGCUGAGGUAUUCCAGCAGCAGGGGUCUAGAGGAGCAUGGGAUUAGGCUCAUUUAAUGAUUUCAAACAAUUGUCCUCCAUGGUUUAUGUAGUUGCACCUAUUUUUCCAUUACUGCAUAUUGGUUAUUUGUGCAAAGUGAAACAUGCCAGUAGAAAAUGUUACACAAAUCUGGACCAAAAUAACCUGACUAGAGUGAAGGAGGGACUUGAAGCUCUUGGUCCUGUUUAGACCAAAUCUAAGUUGGACUUUGUGCUGAAAUUAAUUUUGUAAUGACAAAAUCUGGGCAGGACCUGAGGUUUUCCUUUCAAAAUUUAUGAACUACAGAAAAAUCUUGACCGGCUUUUCAUGCUAGUCAGAACAAAACAAGGACAAGUAGAAAAAGAGCAGAGUUUUUUGUUGCUUGCAUUUAAAGCUUCCUUUAUAAGAUGUUGCCAACAAAUUAACAUAUUUGAUAAUAAAUAAGCUGAAAAGGUUGAUUGAUUUGCCUGGAAAGAGGGGCUGUAAUCUUCAGAAGUCGCCUGUCCUGGAAACCAAGAUUUCAAUCCUUUUAUUUCUGGAUGUUCUUCCCCCUUAGUAAACUGCAGGAAGUUAUCAUUUUCAGAACAAAUUCACAAUUUAAAACUGAAAUUACACUGUUUCUACUGCAAAACGUCAUAAUUUUUCAUAAAGAAUUCACUGCUACUUAAAUUAAUAUAGUGAUAUCCAUAAACAUUAAGGUAAUACUGCUUGGUUAUAGAAAGCAGAUGAAUCAAUCCCCUCAGUGGGAAACACAAAGGGAAAAUGCUUUAAUACUGUAGGUGAAUUAUGAGUGUUUUUACUAGUCCUGUGAAGUGUGAUAUCUCUCCCCAUAUAUAUAUUAUGUAUAAAAUGUCAUUUUUCCUGUAUGCAGUUUGGUUUGGGUAAAGGCUGUUUUCCCACUAAUGGCAUUUUGAAUCAUCUUUGUUUUCUAGAAUCUCCUAAAAAUCAGCUGAUUUUUGGUAGUUGCUGUUUACAAUAAUGGUAAAAACAUCUAAAAGUGGUUGACAGAAGGUGGAACAGAUCCCACUGGAUUUUGCUACAUAGUUCAAAAAAGCCUUACUGUAAUUCUGGCCUCUUGUGUAGUGGAUGUGUAACAUAACAGGACAAAAAACCACCAAUUUUUUUGUCAAAAGUUUUUUUAAAAAUCUUGUUGCGUGAAGCAGGAAUGAGUGUGACGGAUACUGUGGGUAACAGCCAACAUUGUUUGCACAAUGAAGCUUUUUAUACAGAAAAAUUUAUAGUUCUGUUGAUCCAGCUCAUUGCAUCUCUUUUUCCAUACAAAACUAACGUUUGGGUUCAAACGUUCACCCUGAUGUCAAGGUCUGAUAUUUUCACUUCUCCUUUUCUCCUAAUUUUAUUGAUUUUUCUAGGCUAAGCAUUCCAUAGAUUAGUUAUAGUAAGAAGGCAUAUUGUGGAAUGUGAUAUAAUUGGCAACUGAUUGUUGAUGUAGGAGAUUUAUGUUGGCCUUAUAGUAAUAGUUUCUUAUAAUUGGAAACAUAUGUGAUUUUUAGUGUCUAGACUUGGGAACUUUCCCAGGAAGGAGUUCCAGGUGGUUAUCUAAGCAUAAUAGGCCAAAUGGCUACUUAAAGGCUGCAGGCAGACAUGGGAAAUAUGUAGACGUUGCUAGCAAAUGUAAUUAUUUCAUAAUUUGCAUUUUAUAAAUUGCAACAUAUCAAUUUACUUCUAAUGGUUUGACCAGCUGAUUUGUUUUGUAAAUUCAUGUUAAAAUGAAAUUUGCUUUCUCACUGAAAUAGUGUAAAAUACAGAGCUUAGAAAUUCUUGAUAUAUCUGGAUGACAAAAAGCCUUUAUCUAUAUCAUGUGCCUAAGUUAGUUGUGUUGAGAUAUGAAUGUUUAACUUGAAAUAGCAAAUAGUUACGUUUAUAGAAUGAAUUCUGUGAAAUUUGCUUUGGUGUAGUUAAUUCACCUGGCACCUUGAGUUUUGUCUUUGUUUGCCAGUAGUCUGAUUUCUGGAAGGACCUCAGAAAGGAAACAUGUCUGGAAGUUGUUCAGCCUACUAAAACAUGUGGUGAUUUGAUAUUUCCCUGAUCCCAGUUUGCCUUGAACACGCUCUGCACGUUAAAACAUCCCCGGAGAAGGAAAGCGCAGUUGGCUAUCCCAGCAUGAAUACUCUGCAAAUAUUGUUCUGGGACCUGCACAGCCUGUGACUCACAAUGAAUAUUUCCAGCUCUAGUUCUGACUGCACAAUAGGAAAUGGAAAAGAAAAUAAGUGAUUUGCUGGGGCCUAACACUGGAUGAGUUGAUCAUUGUGGCUUGCACAGAGAACAUGGAAGAGCUGCACUAGAAGAUGUGAAAAGUCCUCUCAAUUCAGUUUCCAUGUGCCAGAUGGUUGUUCCUUGUUGUAUUUUUUUUAAUCCUACCUGUUAAGAUAGCAAAGAACGACAUACGUUAUCUGGCUCUGCAGCCAAGUGUGUGGUCCAAAUUAUUUUCACAGAAUGCCUGACAAAGUCUGCUUGCUUGUCUGCCUGCCUCAAUCAUUUUUCUCAACUAAUGAGAAAAAUCUGCCAAGCAUUGUUGGGCUAAGGCACUAAUUAUUCUCAAACAAAUGUUUCAAUUUUGCACAAGUUAGGAAGUGUCUCUGUUUUAAAUGAUUACAUGCCAAGAUGCCAGACUAGUUAAACCAGUUUCGUUCAUCAAUAUGUCUGGAAGUCCCAGAGGACCAAAGAGAUGAAAUCAUUAAAAGCAAAUGGGUCUGCAGUUUUAGGUGCUCUUUUAGGAAAUAUUGCUGCAAUACUUCUUUUUGUGUAUGUUCAUUUUUAAUGAGAAAUAGUAGGUCUAUUUUCCAUCUGGAAAUGUUGUUUCUUGUGAUAUUCCUGCAUUGCUCCUCACAUUCUCUUGGUUUUGGCACUGAAUUAAAGGAAAAUUUGUGACUAGUCACGCAAGACUGGCCCCUGUAAUCCUUUCUCAGAUUUUGUAGCCUGCUCAUCAUCACCCUAUUUGAGCAUUAAGGAAGUUGGUCUCUGAUAGUGACAACAUUGGAAAGUAUCUCCUCAUGAAACUUCCAGUUGAAUUUGGCAGUUGGAAGAAGCUCGAGCAAUUUAAAGGAUGUUUACAGCUCGUAUUCCAAGCAAUGGUGCUACCCUUGGGCCUGAACUCCAUGAUUCCCUACUCAGAAGCAGCUGUGAGCUUCCAGAAGAGCAUUGUCCCACCUCUGGACAAGACAUGCUUAGGUCACAUCUACUUGUGACCAGGUUCAAGGUUCUGAUGUUUUGGUGUGUCACUAGGGAGGUGUGUGCCUCUGAGCAGCCGUACCUUUGCUGAUCUGCUACACUUUUGCCAUCUGCCUUUCCCACUGUUUGUCCUCAUCCCAAAAUUGCUCUAAAAGAAGCAGAUAGAUUGCCAGGUUUAGGGGGCUCUGCUGGG
Corvus hawaiiensis (hawaiian crow) is the source of this 4955-nucleotide long non-coding RNA. RefSeq lists it as uncharacterized. The record is from RefSeq and is a predicted model, not a curated record. The transcript has 4 exons. Lineage: Eukaryota; Metazoa; Chordata; Aves; Passeriformes; Corvidae.